AGAGGGUUUUCUGCCAUCAGAUCCCUCACCACGACAGACUCGAGGUUUCUGCCAUCAGAUCCCUCACUACGGACCGUAUGCUGACGAACUUCCCUGGCCCUGCUACCUGAGACCUGCUGCUUCCUCCUGGGCUUACUCUGCGGCUUCUUCCUGGACCCACCCGGUACCUGCACCCUCUCUUUGUCCAAGACCGGCCUCGCUGCUCCUGCCCUUUGGCCUCGGACCAUCGGAACGUCGUGCAACAGACUACUGCCGGAUCCUGGUGGGCUGCGAGACAGGAAAAGUUUGUGCUUUUUUGACAUGUAUUAAAAGCCUGACUUCAAGUUCAACAAAUUCUUUCCUCAAUCCUCUCACAAGUGGGUGAUGACAUGGUCUAAUACUCCAGAUUUUUUACUAAGAUAAUUAGACUCUGAUCCUGGAAGUUAUUCCUUGUGGCUGCUGCUCUGUGAGUCCUCCGGCUCCUCCCACUGUUUCAUUCUAGAAUCUGUUCCUGCUCCCUUGUUUCAGCUGCAAUGGAUCCAGGCCUGAGAAAAUUCUGAUGCUGCGAUGUUCUCAUAGGAGAUAGAUUCUGUAUCCAUUUCAGAUCCUCUGACAGUCCCCAGCAUGCGGCUGGAAGGUUUGCCCAUGCUCAUGCUCAGAUCUGGAGAGAGCUAACUGGCUCACCAGAGACGGAUUCUCAGACUCAAAGAACAGGGGAGAUGGGACUGGGUCCAGUUGGAAGUCUUCUUUAAUGCCUAGCAAAAAACUGCUGCUGCAAACAAGGCAGUUCUGGUUGAAAAUUGCCACACUGGUUAGUUGUAUUUCUUUCCUAAUCCCUUUGCACUUAUUUAGCUGGGCUGGCUGCAGAAAAAAAAUCUUAGUAGCUGCAGGACCCAUACAGGAGGGCUAAGUUUUUAGCGAGUAUUUACAAAGAUACUAUAGGUGAAGAGCUGCUUUCUAUGUGAUUUUGGGGGCUAUUUUCUUCCAGAGUGAAAUCUGUCAAUCUGCUCAUUUGUGUUUUUAAGCACUUUCCAAGCAUCUGCAGCGGAAGCAAAUGGGAUACCAUAACCUCAAGUAACCAAAGAUCGGUAACCUCACUCUAGCUGAACAAAGGUAUGGUGCCAUGCGAUCUGCUGAUGCCAUCUGAACAAAGCAGAUCAGCUCCUGCUCUCCCAAAAAAACUCAUUGCAAAUAAGAUGCAGACAAAGAAUUGCUUAGUGAAUAACUGUGAAUAGUAAAUACAAGAGAUUUUGAGUCAAUGAGUGGGAAAUGCCUGCAAAGACAAAGUAGCUACCUUUAUUAACCAAAGGUUUUGCAAAUAUACCUUCCUUGGUUCCUAUUUCUGUCUGAUGCCACAUUCAGCUGUCUGAACUGCUGAUGUCAGUGAGAACUGUGGCUUUCUAGCCCUUUGCAAAAAUCCAUGGGGUAUAAUUUGCCUAUUCAGCUUGAUAUAGUAGUGUCUUAGACAAUAUAUAGACAACUGGUCGUGGUAAGUGAUGAAUAUAAGCAAGAAGAAUUUUGGGCUGCAGGUUCAAUAUAAUUAAUGAAGUGUUACUAAAGCAUUUUAAGAGAAACUGGUUCCUGCAUUUACAAUGUGCUGUAAUGAUUUACUUAGAAGUCUCCCUUUAGACUCAGUAUACAAGUUACAAAUGAUGCAAAAUGUUGCUGAUCAGAGAUAUUGACAAUCGCUCAUUGGUAUUGACGUACACAAGAGUCUACACUGGUUGCCAGUGCAAUUAUGAACUGACUUUAAAGACUUGCUUUUGGCCAAAGGCUGAAAGACGACCUUAUUUCUCAUCUUAUUUCAAAGUAUCUUCUGACUUAUUCUUCAGCUGUUUCCUCUGUCAGAUCAAAAUAAUAAUAAUAAAGAAACAGGAAGUUUUAUGUGUUCUUUAUCUUCCAUCUGUCUAUUCAGGACUGUUAAUGCAGGUGGAACAGAUGGUGAUUACUUCUAAGAUAUAUUUCCAGUAUUAGCCCAGUAAAACUUUUCCUUUCAAUAAGAUAUCUGGAAAUUGUCUCAGAUUUAGAAUUUGAAAAUGUUCUUCAAAAGAGCCUCAGUGAUUGAAGAAAAAAAUCUCACAGGCUCUUCCACUGAACACAGGGGUUCUGAUUGAGCCAGCUGGAUUUCUAGUCAAGUCCUUCUGUCUCUUGUUUCUUUUCACUAGGAUUAUCUGAAAAUAUCAUGGAAAGCUUGGAAAUAAGUUAGAAAGAGGUACUAUCUUUGAAAAGUUUAUGAAGCAAACUUGAAUAGAAACCAACUCUUUCCUUGGAGAAGAUCCACUUACUUGAGCCAAGAUUAAGGAUAAAAUUUGACUGUGGGUCAGAGAACUAUAGUGGAAAUGGCUCUGAAAUGUACUAAGAUUGAAUGAAGGUUAGUUAAAAUAUUUUAGUCCAAAUACAGCUUUGUCCCAUUUGUUCUUUCUUAAGGUGAACUUCUUCCUGAAGUUUUGCCACUGAGAUUUAUUUCCUUUCUUUUUGUAUAAGAAUCAUGAGGGGAUGACCAUCAAUUGAGGUGGGCUAUUUGUGACACAGACUGAAGGAAAGGAAUCACUUCUUGAGAAUAUGUGACAUGCAGUGCUUCUGCUUCAGAAAGUCUGUUGCUCAUAAUGGAAAUGUUAAGUUUAUUCCCCACUUUAGCUAUAAGUUUCUGCAGGAAAAAAAUACUACAUGCAAUAAGUUAUUAUAACACCUAUGGACUAGCACCAAUAAACAAAUCUUUGCCUCCUUGUGCUUGAAACAGCUGCUGGUAAUUACUCUCGUCCUGUGGAAACAGAAGCACAUCUGGUAUCUUCAUAACAGCCCUGAUAAAAAAGGAUAGGAGGUAAAGCAUCUGUCCCAGGUGUACACAACUGCAUCAUUCCUCCACCGCUGCUCCACUUGAGUACCAUAUCUCUUGAAACUAGUGGGACAAGAUGCUGAUUGAGAGGAAAAUAAAGAGGGGAAUUUUUCAUCCUUUAUGUUCUCUCUUCCUAGCUAUAUUCUCAGAUCCCUAUGCACACGGAACUCACUGUUCUAUGCUCCACAUGGUUAUGUUGAAAAGAGCUUUAGAUGGCCUAAAUUCUUGUGCUUAUGACCUUUGAUGAAAAUUUCCCUAUGUAAAGAAUCAUAGAAUAAUAGAAUUAUAGAAUGGCUUGGGUUGGAAGGGGCCCCAGUGAUCACCAAGUUCCAAACCCCGCUGCCACAGGCAGGGCCACCAACCUCCAGAUCUGAUACUAGACCAGGUUGUCCCCUCCAAUCUGGUCUUGAACACCUCUAGGGAUAGAGAAUCCACAGCCUCUCUGGGCAGCCUGUUCCUGCACCUCACCACUCUCUCUUAAGGGUUUCCCCUUGACAUCCAAUCUAAGCAUUCCUUCACUUACCAUCUCUCACUUAUCAUUCACUCUAAAUACUUAUUACAUUUAGAAAUAAUGUAAUUGAGAAGUUUACUUCCACUCUGAAACUUCCUCAUUUCAAUGCUUUUCACUGGCAAAACACAAACACCAAAUCAGAAAGUAAAACUCUGCAGUUAAUGGGUCACUUUCAAAGAAUGGUAAGAUUAAAACCAAACCAACCAACCAAUCAAAAAAACCCCACCAAAACCAAAAUACUAAAAUGCAAAAUCUAUGGAGAUCUUAUCUGUGUUGCUUCAUAUUUUCUAGUUUUAUUUGGUAGGAUUAAAGCUUGGAACAUAUGGAAUGUAUGAAAAUAAAAGAUGAUAUUUUCACAUAUUGCCUCAUUUCUUAAUGCUGUGGUUCAUUAAAAAAAAAAAAAACAACAAAUAUUAUUAGUAUUGACAACAUUAUGUUUGUGUUCUGUAGUGUACAGUAGAGCAUGAUUUUCUUGAACUGGUUUGUCUUUGUACAUUACUGAAAUAAAAUUAAGAU
Molecule: long non-coding RNA, 3842 nt
Organism: Gallus gallus (chicken)
Lineage: Eukaryota; Metazoa; Chordata; Aves; Galliformes; Phasianidae
Source: Ensembl